GAGGGACGACCUGUAUCAGUCAGGAGUUUGCACAGGUGCUGCAUGGCUGUCGUCAGCUCGUGCCGUGAGGUGUUAGGUUAAGUCCUGCAACGAGCGCAACCCUCGUCGCUAGUUGUUUUCUCUUAGCGAUACUGCCCGUAUAACGUGGAGGAAGGUGGGGAUGACGUCAAGUCAGCAUGGCCCUUACAUCCUGGGCUACACGACACGCUACAAUGGGUGAUACAACAGGUUGCGAUAGAGUAAUCUGGAGCCAAUCCCUAAAAUCAUCCUCAGUACGGAUUGCAGGCUGCAACUGCCUGCAUGAAGUUGGAGUUGCUAGUAAACGCAGGUCAGCACACUGCGUUGAAUACGUUCUCGGGCCUU
This 363-nucleotide ribosomal RNA is filed under the name uncultured Chloroflexota bacterium. Its description in RNAcentral is "bacterial SSU rRNA". It matches the Rfam family "Bacterial small subunit ribosomal RNA", at positions 1006 to 1382 of the family's 1533-position model. Lineage: Bacteria; Bacillati; Chloroflexota. The record is from RNAcentral.